GGUUAAGCGACUAAGCGUACACGGUGGAUGCCCUGGCAGUCAGAGGCGAUGAAGGACGUGCUAAUCUGCGAAAAGCGUCGGUAAGGUGAUAUGAACCGUUACAGCCGGCGAUGUCCGAAUGGGGAAACCCAGUGCAAUUCGUUGCACUAUCGUUAACUGAAUACAUAGGUUAACGAGGCGAACCGGGGGAACUGAAACAUCUAAGUACCCCGAGGAAAAGAAAUCAACCGAGAUUCCCCCAGUAGCGGCGAGCGAACGGGGAGCAGCCCAGAGUCUGAAUCAGCUUGUGUGUUAGUGGAACGGUCUGGAAAGUCCGACGGUACAGGGUGAUAGUCCCGUACACCAAAAUGCACAGGCUGUGAACUCGAAGAGUAGGGCGGGACACGUGGUAUCCUGUCUGAAUAUGGGGGGACCAUCCUCCAAGGCUAAAUACUCCUGACUGACCGAUAGUGAACCAGUACCGUGAGGGAAAGGCGAAAAGAACCCCGGCGAGGGGAGUGAAAAAGAACCUGAAACCGUGUACGUACAAGCAGUGGGAGCACCUUCGGGUGUGACUGCGUACCUUUUGUAUAAUGGGUCAGCGACUUAUAUUCUGUAGCAAGGUUAACCGUAUAGGGGAGCCGCAGGGAAACCGAGUCUUAACUGGGCGUUAAGUUGCAGGGUAUAGACCCGAAACCCGGUGAUCUAGCCAUGGGCAGGUUGAAGGUUGGGUAACACUAACUGGAGGNNUCAUCUUCGGGGGUAGAGCACUGUUUCGGCUAGGGGGUCAUCCCGACUUACCAACCCGAUGCAAACUACGAAUACCGAAGAAUGUUAUCACGGGAGACACACGGCGGGUGCUAACGUCCGUCGUGAAGAGGGAAACAACCCAGACCGCCAGCUAAGGUCCCAAAGUCACAGUUAAGUGGGAAACGAUGUGGGAAGGCACAGACAGCCAGGAUGUUGGCUUAGAAGCAGCCAUCAUUUAAAGAAAGCGUAAUAGCUCACUGGUCGAGUCGGCCUGCGCGGAAGAUGUAACGGGGCUAAACUGUGCACCGAAGCUGCGGCAGCGACACUAUGUGUUGUUGGGUAGGGGAGCGUUCUGUAAGCCUGCGAAGGUGGCCUGUGAGGGUUGCUGGAGGUAUCAGAAGUGCGAAUGCUGACAUAAGUAACGAUAAUGCGGGUGAAAAGCCCGCACGCCGGAAGACCAAGGGUUCCUGUCCAACGUUAAUCGGGGCAGGGUGAGUCGACCCCUAAGGCGAGGCCGAAAGGCGUAGUCGAUGGGAAACAGGUUAAUAUUCCUGUACUUGGUGUUACUGCGAAGGGGGGACGGAGAAGGCUAUGUUAGCCGGGCGACGGUUGUCCCGGUUUAAGCAUGUAGGCGGAGGUUCCAGGUAAAUCCGGUACCUUUUUAACGCUGAGGUGUGAUGACGAGGCACUACGGUGCUGAAGUAACAAAUGCCCUGCUUCCAGGAAAAGCCUCUAAGCAUCAGGUAACAUUAAAUCGUACCCCAAACCGACACAGGUGGUCAGGUAGAGAAUACCAAGGCGCUUGAGAGAACUCGGGUGAAGGAACUAGGCAAAAUGGUGCCGUAACUUCGGGAGAAGGCACGCUGAUAUGUAGGUGAAGCCCCUGCGGGUGGAGCUGAAAUCAGUCGAAGAUACCAGCUGGCUGCAACUGUUUAUUAAAAACACAGCACUGUGCAAACACGAAAGUGGACGUAUACGGUGUGACGCCUGCCCGGUGCCGGAAGGUUAAUUGAUGGGGUUAUCCGUAAGGAGAAGCUCUUGAUCGAAGCCCCGGUAAACGGCGGCCGUAACUAUAACGGUCCUAAGGUAGCGAAAUUCCUUGUCGGGUAAGUUCCGACCUGCACGAAUGGCGUAAUGAUGGCCAGGCUGUCUCCACCCGAGACUCAGUGAAAUUGAACUCGCUGUGAAGAUGCAGUGUACCCGCGGCAAGACGGAAAGACCCCGUGAACCUUUACUAUAGCUUGACACUGAACAUUGAGCCUUGAUGUGUAGGAUAGGUGGGAGGCUUUGAAGCGUGGACGCCAGUCUGCGUGGAGCCAACCUUGAAAUACCACCCUUUAAUGUUUGAUGUUCUAACGUUGGCCCCUGACCGGGGUUGCGGACAGUGUCUGGUGGGUAGUUUGACUGGGGCGGUCUCCUCCCAAAGAGUAACGGAGGAGCACGAAGGUUAGCUAAUCCUGGUCGGACAUCAGGAGGUUAGUGCAAUGGCAUAAGCUAGCUUGACUGCGAGCGUGACGGCGCGAGCAGGUGCGAAAGCAGGUCAUAGUGAUCCGGUGGUUCUGAAUGGAAGGGCCAUCGCUCAACGGAUAAAAGGUACUCCGGGGAUAACAGGCUGAUACCGCCCAAGAGUUCAUAUCGACGGCGGUGUUUGGCACCUCGAUGUCGGCUCAUCACAUCCUGGGGCUGAAGUAGGUCCCAAGGGUAUGGCUGUUCGCCAUUUAAAGUGGUACGCGAGCUGGGUUUAGAACGUCGUGAGACAGUUCGGUCCCUAUCUGCCGUGGGCGCUGGAGAAUUGAGGGGGGCUGCUCCUAGUACGAGAGGACCGGAGUGGACGCAUCACUGGUGUUCGGGUUGUCAUGCCAAUGGCAUUGCCCGGUAGCUAAAUGCGGAAGAGAUAAGUGCUGAAAGCAUCUAAGCACGAAACUUGCCCCGAGAUGAGUUCUCCCUGAGACUUUAAGUCUCCUGAAGGAACGUUAAAGACGAUGACGUUGAUAGGUCGGAUGUGUAAGCGUAGCGAUACGUUGAGCUAACCGAUACUAAUGAACCGUGAGGCUUAACCUU
RNAcentral lists this ribosomal RNA (2790 nucleotides) under Klebsiella aerogenes. RNAcentral describes it as "23S ribosomal RNA". It matches the Rfam family "Bacterial large subunit ribosomal RNA". The record is from RNAcentral. Lineage: Bacteria; Pseudomonadati; Pseudomonadota; Gammaproteobacteria; Enterobacterales; Enterobacteriaceae.